UCCCAGCGGUCCAAGUCGCAACCACAAUUAUUGGGUCUAAAACAUCCGUAGCUUGCCUGGUAAGUCUCUUGUGAAAUCCGGCCUCUUAAGGGUCGAAGAGCAAGAGAUACUGCUGGGCUAGAGACCGGGAGAGGUAAGAAGUAUGGUCGGGGUACCGGUAAAAUGGGUUGAUCCUGUCCAGACUAACAACAGCGAAGGCAUCUUACCAGCACGGAUCUGACAGUAAGGGAUGAAGGCUAGGGGCGCAAAAGGG
Molecule: ribosomal RNA, 253 nt
Filed under: uncultured bacterium
Lineage: Bacteria
Description: partial 16S ribosomal RNA
Rfam family: Archaeal small subunit ribosomal RNA
Source: RNAcentral